Molecule: long non-coding RNA, 280 nt
Filed under: Carica papaya (papaya)
Lineage: Eukaryota; Viridiplantae; Streptophyta; Magnoliopsida; Brassicales; Caricaceae
Description: long non-coding RNA (CPAP_LNC001322)
Source: RNAcentral
UACAGUUGAGGCACCGAACCAUACUGUGGUGGUGCCAGAUGGUAUUAUGGAGGAGCAAAAUCAUACCGAGAUGGCUCAGGAUCCUCCUACUGCAGGGGUGGCUCAACCUAUAGUAGCGGGAGAGGUUCAGGUAGCUCCCUCCUUUCCUCCCGGGCCUUCUGGGCAGCAAUGAGCCUCUCCAACAUUUCAAAUAAUUGGUCAACAUCCUCUCGAAACGAACCCUCCCGAACUGCUCGGUUUAGUGGGGGUCUUCCUCUCUUCAUCUAUCUGUACCUGCAUU